GUGGGUAUGGCUCAGUGGUAGAGCGAGCGCAUGCCUAGCGUGCAUGAGGUCCUGGGUUCAGUCCCCAGUACCUCCA
RNAcentral lists this transfer RNA (76 nucleotides) under Camelus bactrianus (Bactrian camel). It matches the Rfam family "tRNA". Rfam says of the family: Transfer RNA (tRNA) molecules are approximately 80 nucleotides in length. Their secondary structure includes four short double-helical elements and three loops (D, anti-codon, and T loops). Further hydrogen bonds mediate the characteristic L-shaped molecular structure. tRNAs have two regions of fundamental functional importance: the anti-codon, which is responsible for specific mRNA codon recognition, and the 3' end, to which the tRNAs corresponding amino acid is attached (by aminoacyl-tRNA synthetases). tRNAs cope with the degeneracy of the genetic code in two manners: having more than one tRNA (with a specific anti-codon) for a particular amino acid; and 'wobble' base-pairing, i.e. permitting non-standard base-pairing at the 3rd anti-codon position. RNAcentral also lists the same sequence under 2 other names. Lineage: Eukaryota; Metazoa; Chordata; Mammalia; Artiodactyla; Camelidae. The record is from Rfam by way of RNAcentral.